GCUACAUUGCUCCUGAAGUGUUCUCAAGGAACUUUGGGAACGUUUCCUACAAGUCAGAUGUUUAUAGUUUUGGAAUGUUGGUGUUAGAAAUGGUUGGAGGAAGGAAGAGUACUGUUGAUGUCAAAGAAAGAACAAGUGAUCAAAUAUACUUUCCAGAAUGGAUUUAUAAUCUUUUGGAAGGAGGAGAAGAUCUAAGGUUGGAAAUUGAUACAGAGGAAGACAAUGGAAUUGCAAAGAAACUUGCAAUAGUG
Molecule: unclassified non-coding RNA, 251 nt
Filed under: Hevea brasiliensis (rubber tree)
Lineage: Eukaryota; Viridiplantae; Streptophyta; Magnoliopsida; Malpighiales; Euphorbiaceae
Source: RNAcentral